RNAcentral lists this ribosomal RNA (720 nucleotides) under uncultured bacterium. Its description in RNAcentral is "bacterial SSU rRNA". It matches the Rfam family "Bacterial small subunit ribosomal RNA", at positions 129 to 865 of the family's 1533-position model. The record is from RNAcentral.
CCCCUAAGUGGGGAAUAACUCUGAGAAAUCGGAGCUAAUACCGCAUGUGAUGAUAGGGGUAAUGCUCUAUCAGUAAAGCCUUCGGGCGCUUGGGGAGGGGCUUGUGGCCGAUUAGCUAGUUGGUAAGGUAACGGCCUACCAAGGCGAUGAUCGGUAGCUGGUCUGAGAGGAUGGUCAGCCACAUUGGGACUGAGACACGGCCCAGACUCCUACGGGAGGCAGCAGCAAGGAAUUUUGUGCAAUGGGCGAAAGCCUGACACAGCGACGCCGCGUGGGGGAAGAAGGCCUUCGGGUUGUAAACCCCUUUUUUCAGGGAAGAAUAAUGACGGUACCUGAGGAAUAAGUCUCGGCUAACUACGUGCCAGCAGCCGCGGUAAUACGUAGGAGGCAAGCGUUAUUCGGAUUUACUGGGCGUAAAGCGGGCGUAGGCGGUUUUUCAAGUCGGAUGUAAAAUCUCCCGGCUUAACUGGGAGGGAUCAUUCGAUACUGUUGAACUAGAGGGCCGCAGAGGGAGGUGGAAUUCCCGGUGUAGUGGUGAAAUGCGUAGAUAUCGGGAGGAACACCAGUGGCGAAGGCGGCCUCCUGGGCUGUACCUGACGCUGAGGCCCAAAAGCGUGGGGAGCGAACAGGAUUAGAUACCCUGGUAGUCCACGCUGUAAACGAUGGACACUAGGUAUGGGGAGUAUCGACCCUUUCUGUGCCGAAGCUAACGCUUUAAGU